This 253-nucleotide ribosomal RNA is filed under the name uncultured bacterium. RNAcentral's name for it is "partial 16S ribosomal RNA". It matches the Rfam family "Bacterial small subunit ribosomal RNA", at positions 524 to 776 of the family's 1533-position model. The record is from RNAcentral.
AACGUAGGAGGCAAGCGUUAUCCGGAGUUACUGGGCGUAAAGCGCGUGUAGGUGGAUUGGUAAGUUACUUAUAAAAGCUCCUGGCUAAACUAGGAGAGGUUGAGUGAUACUGCCAGUCUUGAAUAGAGGAGAGGUUGACGGAAUUCCGGGUGUAGUGGUGAAAUGCGUAGAGAUCCGGAGGAACACCAGAGGCGAAGGCGGCAACCUGGCACGUAACUGACGCUCAUACACGACAGCAUGGGGAGCGAACGGG